UUGUCCAACAUGUCCAGCUUGAUCCUCGCCAACGGGAAGGUUGAAUUUAUCGUGGGUGCAAAAUACCGUUUGAUGCGGAAAAUCGGAUCCGGCUCAUUUGGUGACAUUUAUCUCGGAAUCAACAUCUCAAAUGGCGAAGAAGUUGCGGUCAAACUGGAAGCUAUGCGAGCUCGCCACCCACAGCUACUUUAUGAAUCAAAGUUAUACAAGAUCUUACAUGGGGGAAUUGGGAUUCCCCACAUACGAUGGUAUGGUCAAGAACGUGAAUAUAACGUGCUUGUGAUGGAUUUACUAGGGCCUUCGCUCGAAGAUCUAUUUACAUUUUGUUCAAGAAGGUUUACAAUAAAGACCGUCUUGAUGCUGGCUGACCAAAUGAUUGGACGUAUCGAAUUUAUUCAUUGCAAACACUUUAUUCAUAGAGAUAUAAAACCAGACAAUUUUCUCAUGGGCAUUGGGCGGCAUUGCAAUAAGCUCUUUAUGAUAGAUUUUGGCUUAGCGAAGAAAUUCAGAGACAGUCGUACUAGAUCACAUAUAAUGUAUCGAGAAGAUAAAAAUUUAACGGGAACAGCUAGGUACGCUUCAAUAAAUGCCCACCUUGGUAUUGAACAAAGCCGUCGUGAUGAUAUGGAAUCCUUGGGCUAUGUUCUCAUGUACUUUAAUCGAGGAUCCUUGCCAUGGCAAGGUCUCAAGGCAGCAACAAAAAAACAAAAGUAUGAAAAAAUCAGUGAAAAGAAAAUGUCCACCCCAGUUGAGGUCUUGUGCAAGGGAUAUCCAGCAGAAUUUGCAAUGUUCUUGAAUUACACACGAGGAUUACGGUUUGAAGAGGGUCCCGACUACAUGUACCUGCGCCAAUUGUUCCGUAUUUUGUUCCGCACCUUGAAUCAUCAAUACGAUUACACAUUCGACUGGACGAUGCUAAAACAGAAAGCUGCCAACGUGACGGUGGUCGGUGGUGGAAUUUCAGGAGGUGCAGGUUUAUCGAACCAAGCACAAGGUCAAGGACAAGGUCAAACACCAACUCAAGCUAAUGCCCAACCAGUUUCGCGCGAGAGACCUUACACCGAAAAUUACGAAUGAAUUAAAUCUUAAGUGUCAACAAAACCCACCAUGCUGCGAACAACUCCACCAAAAACAACUAGCUACGCCGUCUUCCGUCUUACAUCUGCCUCGUAAACAGCCGUUACUCCCUAAAUGUUGAAGAAAAACGUCGGAAAAUCUCUAAAAAUGCAAAUGAAAAAAAAUGAAGCACUACACUCGAUCGCUGGUUUAUAUCUGUACUCAGGGGAACGCGUUAAAGCUCCAAAUGCCCCCCAAUAGCCCUGAAUCAAUUGCGAUUGCUAUAAAAAAAAUAAAUAAAAAAGUGUCCCAAAUACGAGACUUUAACAUAUAGAACUGACACUGAACCAAGAGCUGAAUUGAACGAAGGCUUUUUUAUGGUAAAGAGGAAAAAGUUUGAAACAAACAAAAAUCAUUUCAUCACAUGAUAUUUCGAAAGGUUCGGAUUGAAGUUUUGAUGGGUGUUGUUAUUAAAACUGCUUCGAAAAAAAUGCUCAAUGCAAGCAGGUUAUCUUAUGACCUAUUAUAAAAGGAGAAAAACAAAUUGGCAAUGGCUCAAUUUUUGCUAACUUUAUCGCAUUUAAAGCUUCAAUAAAUUCAGCCCAAGAAAUUAAUUAUAAUCUGGAGGAGAUUGGACGUGAGGUUGGCUAGUUAUUGUACUAUAAUUCUAUCCAUUUAGUCGACUCAUUUUUAUGAAUUAAUUACCAAUGAAUUUUAUAGGGAAAGAAAAUUCCAAUCCAUCGAUACCACUAUUUGUCUUACUUGUUUCCAAAUCAAAUGAUAUGGAUACUCUAUAUACUUGCAUAUAUAUAUACACAUACAUAUAUAUACAUAUAUUUACUUACUCGUAACUUGGUUCUUCCUAAUUAUCCUAUAUUUAACUAUUAAUUUUUUAUCCGUAGGUCAAUGCGGAGUUCUAUUUGCUUUCGGUUGAUGAAAAAGCGAAUUCAAUUCUAUACUAUAAUUUGCAAAAAUGCAAUUUUUUCGCAAGACGAAAAGAAAUUUUCUGGAAUGAAUGGAAUUGCAGGCUGACCUCUUUCUUUCUCUGGUUGUGUGUAACCCACUUAUUGGUUUUUAUUUAUUUAUUUUCUUGCCAUUUUUUUUUUUCCUUUUUUCUUAAAUUUCGCUUUACUUGAUAAGUCCCGGAAACAAUCCCGAUGGGUGGCUAAUGAGAGCGUUUAUAAGAAAAAUUUAUAUGUUCAAUUGCACCCAGGAUAGAAUAUACUUAUACAUGUAUAAUCCGUAAAUGAAGAAAGAGCCUCAAAAGCAAUAGGCGGGCCGACAAUGAAAUGAACUGAAAAAUUAAAGAAAAAACGCAAAGUAUAAGAGGAUCAAAAAAUGAGUAAGAAAUAAAGACAAAGUUUGAACAAAAGAAAAAAAAAAAACAAUAAUCACGCUUCAUAUUUGAACGUGAAUACGAUUAAAGCAGAGCAAAAGAACGAAAGAAAACAAAAAAAAAUUAUCAAAAUGAACAAAAAAUAAAUAAACAAAAAUAAAUAAACGGAAUCGAAUGUAUGUGAAUGAAUGAAUGACUGGAUAAUGUGUAAGUGCUUGUACGAGUGCUAAGUUAAUUAAUAAUUAAUGAUACAUGCACACAUGAAACUAUCUGGUAUAUUAUAUAUUAUGAAAAAAAAAAUUAUGACAGUAAUUAAGAUAUGAGUUAUUUCAUAAA
This is an RNA transcript of Athalia rosae (coleseed sawfly), 2728 nucleotides long. It is a transcript of the gene named casein kinase I-like, with no coding region annotated. The transcript has 7 exons. NCBI's taxonomy places the organism in Eukaryota, Metazoa, Arthropoda, Insecta, Hymenoptera, Athaliidae. The record is from RefSeq and is a predicted model, not a curated record.